GUGCCUAUAGGACAUUAACUCCAGUAGCCUGUGUGGCCAAGUAGAAUAAAAAUAAAGUUCCUGGGAAUUCAGGAUUGAUAAUAUCUCUGAUUUGUAUAUUUCUGCAGCAGUCAGUCUCUUUCAAAAUAUGGGAACAGCAAGUUAAAAUAAACUGUCUUAUUGGCAGAACAGAGUGUGAUCAUGAGAUACCAUUCAGCUUUUAUGCUGAUUCAUCAGCUCACAGUGAAACGAGCUUGCAUGAGAGCAUCCCAGGACCACUGAACAUUCAGAGGGCUGGAGGCAGAGAAAAACUUCCCCUACUCAAGAAAAAGAAGCUAUUUUUGUCAAGUUAAAUGAGCCUGAACCUGCAGAGCUGAAUUGGCAGAUGAAUAUUGCUAAUUGGUGCAGUUUCUUCGGUGCAGGAAAGAGUUUCCAAUCAGACCGGCAAUUCAUCGGCCACAUGAAGGUAAUUUAUUAAUAAAAAUGAACUGAAGUUUCAGAAUCCUUGAUAAUGAUGAGCUUAUGGUCCUUCACCUCCCUUCCCUUCCCUAGAAAGAACACCCUACAACAAUGAUGCCUCAGUGAUAUCUUCUCCAGCCCAUUCCAUAUGUGGCAACAUUUCAAGUGGUUUUUUUUUCAUUAGGAAUUUCUACAUUUAGUUGUCAAAUCAAGCUGCUCUAAAUGCCUAAUUGUGAUUCUCCCUUCAUCAACAGACUUUUUGAGGAGUUCCUGAUUCAAAGUAACCAGGAAAGUCUGCUAACUGCAGCUUAAUUCUGAAAAGUGAAGGGGAAAACAAAACAGGAGAAACAGUCUCCC
This 795-nucleotide long non-coding RNA is filed under the name Pan paniscus (pygmy chimpanzee). RNAcentral's name for it is "lncRNA (ENSPPAG00000044696.1)". Lineage: Eukaryota; Metazoa; Chordata; Mammalia; Primates; Hominidae. The record is from RNAcentral.